Molecule: unclassified non-coding RNA, 432 nt
Filed under: soil metagenome
Description: partial contains 5.8S ribosomal RNA, internal transcribed spacer 2, and large subunit ribosomal RNA
Rfam family: 5.8S ribosomal RNA (bases 1-120)
Source: RNAcentral
GAUGAAGAACGCAGCGAAAUGCGAUACGUAAUGUGAAUUGCAGAAUUCAGUGAAUCAUCGAAUCUUUGAACGCAUAUUGCGCUCUCUGGUAUUCCGGAGAGCAUGCUUGUUUGAGUAUCAGUAAACACCUCAACUUCCAUAUCUUUUUUGAAAUGGGAGUUGGACUUGAGUGAUCCCAACGCUUUUCCUCACCGAAAAGUGGCGGGUUACUUGAAAUGCAGGUGCAGCUAGACUUUUCUCUGAGCUAUAAGCAUAUCUAUUUAGUCUGCCUAAAAAACAGAUUAUUACCUUUGCUGCAGCUAACAUAAAGGAGAUUAGUUCUUGUGCUGACUGAUGCAGGAUUCACAAAGACGGCUUCGGCCGACUUUGUAAACUCGAUCUCAAAUCAAGUAAGACUACCCGCUGAACUUAAGCAUAUCAAUAAGCGGAGGA